AGUUGAAUGAGAAUUUCUGACAAAGAACGGCUCAAGCCAAAUAAAGAGGAUAAGUUUUGUAUGUCAUUCAUUGUUCUCCUCAUCUCACUGGCUUUUUAAACAUGUUGUGAACUUCUUGGCUCCUGGCCCCAUUUUCCUAGCUCUUUUGCCCUAGUGAAAUGUACAUUCUUCAGAUAAAGAGAAUAUUUUAAGUUAUAGCUACUUCAGUGGCUAAAUAUGAAACCACCAAUUAUUGAAAAUAAGGUUAGAUGUCUUCAUGAAUGGAUUGAAUGGUUAGAAUCGAGCCUUCUAUAUUUAUUUAGGUAUCAGCGUGUUUUCGUUCCUACUUAUUUUAAUUCUUGAAUCAUAUCAGUUUUUUAUUCUUGUAUGUCAUAAAUGCAAAGACACAUGAAAGAGAUAAACAUUUCACUUAAGCAUCUUCUUAUAAAGUUAUAUUAAAUGUAGGAAAUGUCUCAAAAUAAUUUAAUGGAAAGGUAACAUUUACCAAAAAAAAAAAAAUAAAAAAUAGAAAGUUUGAAUAUAAAGGCCUUUUAAAAAAGUGUUUUCUUUGGGGCUGGGGUGUAGCAGAGUAUAGCAUGUGUACAUACACAUGACUAAAGAUCCAAUGAUUCAAAUAAAUCAAAAAGUGUUGUUCUUAACAUUUAAAGAACAGUUCCACAGGUGAAACUAG
This 670-nucleotide long non-coding RNA is filed under the name Marmota monax (woodchuck). Lineage: Eukaryota; Metazoa; Chordata; Mammalia; Rodentia; Sciuridae. The record is from RNAcentral.